AGUGAACGCUGGCGGUAGGCCUAACACAUGCAAGUCGAACGGCAGCACAGUAAGAGCUUGCUCUUACGGGUGGCGAGUGGCGGACGGGUGAGGAAUACAUCGGAAUCUACUUUUUCGUGGGGGAUAACGUAGGGAAACUUACGCUAAUACCGCAUACGACCUACGGGUGAAAGCAGGGGAUCUUCGGACCUUGCGCGAUUGAAUGAGCCGAUGUCGGAUUAGCUAGUUGGCGGGGUAAAGGCCCACCAAGGCGACGAUCCGUAGCUGGUCUGAGAGGAUGAUCAGCCACACUGGAACUGAGACACGGUCCAGACUCCUACGGGAGGCAGCAGUGGGGAAUAUUGGACAAUGGGCGCAAGCCUGAUCCGGCCAUACCGCGUGGGUGAAGAAGGCCUUCGGGUUGUAAAGCCCUCUUGUUGGGAAAGAAAAGCAGCAGGUUAAUACCUCGCUGUUCUGACGGUACCCAAAGAAUAAGCACCGGCUAACUUCGUG
RNAcentral lists this ribosomal RNA (492 nucleotides) under uncultured bacterium. RNAcentral's name for it is "partial 16S ribosomal RNA". It matches the Rfam family "Bacterial small subunit ribosomal RNA", at positions 29 to 507 of the family's 1533-position model. The record is from RNAcentral.